Molecule: ribosomal RNA, 558 nt
Filed under: Phomopsis sp.
Lineage: Eukaryota; Fungi; Ascomycota; Sordariomycetes; Diaporthales; Diaporthaceae
Description: eukaryotic LSU rRNA
Rfam family: 5.8S ribosomal RNA (bases 185-338)
Source: RNAcentral
UUGACGCACGGCUGCUGGGAGGCCUCGGCGCACCCAGCAACCCUUUGUGACUUAUACCUUUUGUUGCCUCGGCGCAUGCUGGUCUCCAGUAGGCCCCUCACCCCGGUGAGGAGACGGCACGCCGGCGGCCAAGUUAACUCUUGUCUUUACACUGAAACUCUGAGAAAAAACACAAAUGAAUCAAAACUUUCAACAACGGAUCUCUUGGUUCUGGCAUCGAUGAAGAACGCAGCGAAAUGCGAUAAGUAAUGUGAAUUGCAGAAUUCAGUGAAUCAUCGAAUCUUUGAACGCACAUUGCGCCCUCUGGUAUUCCGGAGGGCAUGCCUGUUCGAGCGUCAUUUCAACCCUCAAGCAUUGCUUGGUGUUGGGGCACUGCUUUUUACCAAGCAGGCCCUGAAAUCUAGUGGCGAGCUCGCCAGGACCCCGAGCGCAGUAGUUAAACCCUCGCUCUGGAAGGCCCUGGCGGCGCCCUGCCGUUAAACCCCCAACUUUUGAAAAUUUGACCUCGGAUCAGGUAGGAAUACCCGCUGAACUUAAGCAUAUCAAUAAGCGGAGGAA